RNAcentral lists this ribosomal RNA (427 nucleotides) under uncultured bacterium. RNAcentral's name for it is "partial 16S ribosomal RNA". It matches the Rfam family "Bacterial small subunit ribosomal RNA", at positions 355 to 774 of the family's 1533-position model. The record is from RNAcentral.
UAGGGAAUCUUCGGCAAUGGACGAAAGUCUGACCGAGCAACGCCGCGUGAGUGAAGAAGGUUUUCGGAUCGUAAAACUCUGUUGGUAGAGAAGAAAGUUGGUGAGAGUGGAAAGCUCAUCAAGUGACGGUAACUACCCAGAAAGGGACGGCUAACUACGUGCCAGCAGCCGCGGUAAUACGUAGGUCCCGAGCGUUGUCCGGAUUUAUUGGGCGUAAAGCGAGCGCAGGUGGUUUAUUAGGUCUGGUGUAAAAGGCAGUGGCUCAACCAUUGUAUGCAUUGGAAACUUGUAGACUUGAGUGCAGGAGAGGAGAGUGGAAUUCCAUGUGUAGCGGUGAAAUGCGUAGAUAUAUGGAGGAACACCGGUGGCGAAAGCUGCUCUCUGGCCUGUAACUGACACUGAGGCUCGAAAGCGUGGGGAGCAAACA